Molecule: small RNA, 163 nt
Filed under: human gut metagenome
Description: Clostridiales-1 RNA
Rfam family: Clostridiales-1 RNA
Source: RNAcentral
UGCCAGUGCACAAAAGUCCAAAAGCUGUUCGUACUUGUACGAUAAAGCUUUUGAAUUUGGUGCACGCCUAAAUAUGAGGAAGAAGCGAUUUGCGUAGCAAAUCUGCGCAUUCCGAAUAUUUACAGGAUUGCGGGAGCUGCCUGCUGCGGAGCAAUCCGGCGGC